Molecule: long non-coding RNA, 4181 nt
Organism: Neofelis nebulosa (Clouded leopard)
Lineage: Eukaryota; Metazoa; Chordata; Mammalia; Carnivora; Felidae
Exons: 2
Source: RefSeq, a predicted model, not a curated record
UUCAUGCUCUGUCUCUCCCUGUCUCAAAAAUAAAUAAGACGUUUAAAAAAAAAAUUAAAAAAAGAAAAAAGAACAAGUAGCUUGGGAGGCUUGUUGAGACGGUUCUCUGAGGCUGUUGAACGAGAGGGGCUGAGGAAAAGUGAGCCACAUAUACGUACAGAUGGGAAGAAAGCAGUUAGUGGCCGGGAAAGUACCCUGGGAUCUUGUAUGUCAUGAGGAUCCCGUCUCUGCCCUGCUCUAGUGGCUACCUCGUCAUCGGUGCUGGUUAAAAAGACGGCUCCCCGGGCACGUCCUCUGGAGGUGCGGAUCCGGGGACCUGGCACAGGGCACCUUCACGAACAAGAACUUGACAGAUUUCUCGGGUCCCCUGGUCUGGAAUCCUCUGUCUUCAGGAAUGUGCUGCCAUGGGCGUUCGCGGGAUCCGAGCGUGCGUACCUCAUUCUGCUUUUAUAGAAAUGUUCUUGUAAAACCGUACUGAAUCAACAUUAAAGAGAAGUUUGAAAACCCGAACUCUAUUUCUGCUCUUGGAAUACAGCGGGUCCACCUCGCUGCAGGUUGUCAGAUGCUGUAAGCACGGGUUACGUGCUUGUACGCGUAAAAACACGGGAAGUUUUAUUCUGCUUCUUUUGCAUGUAGAAAACCUAUCAGAAACAUCUUUUCCUUGAUGUUGUAUAAUGUUGGUGAUUAUAAUGUUAAGUAUCUGUAAUUUACCUAUUUACAAAGUAUUGGAUGUUUUGGUUGUUGCUAGUUUUUUGUUUACAGUACACACGACAUGAUAAACACUUUGUGUGUGUAGGUUUUACCCUUAAAAUUUUUGAAAAUGGUGGGGCACCUGGGUGGGUCAGUCGGUUGAGCAUCCGGCUUUGGCUCAGGUCACGAUCUGGUAGUUUGGGAGUUCGAGCCCCGUGUCGGGCUCUGGGCCGACAGCUCGGAGCCUGGAGCCUGCUUCAGAUUCCGUGUCUCCCUCUCUCUCUGUCCCUCCCCUGCUCACACUCUGUCUCUUUCUCUCUCAAAAUAAACUAAACAUUAAAAAAAUUAAAAUUUUUGAAAAUAGUUUUUCAGGAAUGGUAUUAGUGAAUUAACAAGUUUGAGUAUUUUGAAGUCAAAGGGAUUAAGAUUGGAACAUAAAAUAUUUCCUCAUUGGUAGAAAUUGGUUAACUACUUUUUUUUUAAGUUUAUGUAUUUAUUUAUUUCAAGAGACAGAGACAGAGCAGGGAGAGGGGCAGAGAGAGGAGAGAGAGAGAAUCCCAAGCAGCGUCCUCACUGUCAGCACAGAGCCAGACACAGGGCUUGAUUCCACGGCCCUGAGAUCAUGACUUGAGCCGAAAUCAAAAGUUGGACUGUCACUCAGCUGAGCUACCCUGGAGCCCUGGUUUACUGCUUUCACGUUUAAAAUGCUUGCAAACCUGUGGGGCACCUGGGGGGCUCAGUUGGUUGAGCAUCCGACCUCAGCUCAGGCCGUGAUCUCACAGUUUGUGGGUUCGAGCUCCGCGUCGGGCUCUGUGCCAACAGCUCAGGGCCUGGAGCUGCUUCCGAUUCUGUGUCUCCCUCUCUCUCUGCCCCUUCCCUGCUCGUGCUCUGUCUCUCUCUGUCUCUCUGUCUCUCUCUCUCUCUCUCUCUCUCAAAAAUAAACAUUAGAAAAAGUUUUUAAAAAUGCUUGCAAACCUGUAAUGUAUUUCCUCCAAGUCUUUAGAUUUAAAAGUCCAUCUCCCUUUAUUUGUAUCAUAAUUGUUUGGUGGGAAUGCUGUUUAUAUAAGGAUGGCCCCUCUGGUGAGACCCUGGGAUAUCUGGGGCAAAACCCAUGUCACUGAAAGCAAAGGAACAACAAGUCAAAUGUCCUGAGGCAGAAUAUGUGAGUGUGGGGGGGCGGGUAGGGGCAGAUCUGGGGGGUCCUAUAGGCCAUACAAGCACUUUGGGGUAUACACUGUGUGAGAAAGGGAACAGUAGGGAGUUUUGAGCAGAGACGUCACAUGUAUGUCUCAUGUCACUGGACAUAACAGUUAGAGGAGCAGCGAGGACGGAAGCAGGGAGACCAGCUGGAGGCUCCCGAGUCAGGCAAGAGAGGAAGGUGGCCAGAGGAGUGGAAGGUGGUGGGAGAGACCAGAGUUUGGGCACCCUUCACAUGUAGAUGAAAAUAAAAUACAGAUGCCAUAUGGAGAGGAGUCCGUGACUGCAGGAUCUGAGCAAACGAGGAAGGGAGCAGACAUUUCCCGAGAUGGGGAAGAUUUACAGGAGCAGGUCUGAAGGAGGGGACCAAGAGCUUCGCUUUGAAGGUGUUAGAUUUCCUUUUAAAACCGGCUUUAUGGGGGCGCCGGCUGGCUCGGUCAGCGGAGCGCGUGGCCCUUGAUCUGGGAGCUGUGAGUCUGAGCCUCACGUUGGGUGUAGAGAUGACUUCAAUAAAUAAACUUCAAGGGGGACAAGACAGAAGAGCCUCUUAAAUACAGAGAACAAACUGAGGGUUGCUGGAGCGGUUGUGGGGGGGUGGGCUAAAUGGGUGAUGGGGCGUUAAGGAGGGCACUUGUUGGGACAAGCACUGGGUGUUGUAGGUAGGGGAUGAAUCCCUGGAAUCUACUCCUGAAGUCAUGAUUGCACUAGAUGCUAACUAACUUGGAUGUAAAUUACAAAGUACAAAUAGUCAUUUCCUUUUUCCCGACGUACAACCACAUCAUCACAUUAUAGUGCGAUUUUGGCUUAUAUUGUUUACGUCUCCAGGGUCCGAGAGGUCCUGGGGAUGGCCCUUGCCCCUGAGAGUCACUUGCCUACAGGAGCGAUCGCAGGACCUCGGAUGCUAGCCAUCGGCACUGACCCAGGACAGUGGCACAUCCCCCCCCCACCUGGGAGCCUGGCCUACUGCGGAUCCCGAGCAUGGAGCAGUCACGACCCGGGCGAUUACUGAUGUCUUUGUUUUACAGCCCUUGGCUUCCUGACAUUAUUUUUAAUAGCUCUGCCACAAUCAUGUAAUAGCAUCAUGUAUGAGGUCAUUGGGGUCCAGGACACCAGAGGGGUUGGGCAGAGACUUGAAAGAGCCGCGUGAGGCAGCACAUCCCUGGGGGGCCCACUGAGGGCCGCAUCGUGGAGCUGAGAUCGCAUGGCGGAGAAACAGAAACGCAUCGUCUGGUCACUGCAGCAGGAGAAGACAACGGUGUUGAGAUCGACGUGUCCUGACGGCGUUUGCAUUUGACCAGCAGGAUGGCAGAACGUGAGCUCAUGUCUGCAGAGGAGGGUCGGUUUGUCAACGAGAAGGAAGCGGUUGAUAUACUCAGGGGGUGACAGCCUCCUUUUCGCCCCUCCCCCCUUUGUGACAGCGGGGAUGGUCAUAGUGAUGUCACACUUGGUCUUCGUUUUCAGCCCAAGACACUACAGCUUCUCCACUAAUGCUCAAAACACCAGAGAGCAGGUGUCAGAGGGCCGGAGAAAUCUUUAAAAUGCUGAGAAGGGAACACGUUGAGAGAGAAAGAGAGCAGCUGGGUGCUGGGUCCAUCUGUCUGGUUCGUCUGGGAUCCGUGCGUGCGUUGGGCCCCAGCAGGAAGCUGAACCCCCUCAUUUGGGCCCCUGCAGAUGUUUUGGGGACUGUCGCUGACUACACUGAUUACGUGACACAGGAUUUCCUUCCUGAGCGCCUGUGGACGAAGGCGUUCUCUGGUCUCAACAAGGAAGAGCUUCGUCAGUCUCCCAAGAGCACGCCGUGCGUCCUGGGCUCGAACCCGCUUCCCUCUGCCCUGGAACCUUCCACUCUCAGUUCAGGAGUUUUCUGGAAUUGUUGAGACACUUGAUAUCCUCUUUGGAAACAGUGGCGCGUGAAUAAACAGUUAAAAACUCCAGGGGCGAAGUCUUUGGCAGUGGCUGACCUUGGGCAAGUGUCCUGUGGCUUCACGGCCCAGUUUUUGCCAGCGGCCGUGUCGUGCAGCGUGUAGGCUCUGGACUCUGGCCACUGGGGGUCACGUCUUCAGUCUAUCACUCACCUCCCAUUUGAGCUAAGACGCGUCACCUGAUCUCCCUGCUGGUCGUUUGCUGCUCGAUGACCCAUCCCAUUUCUUUGCCUGCUUCACAUAACUACAGGAAACGCAUUUGCCUUCGCCACCCUGAAUUUUAGUGCCGAGAGAGUCCGUGCGUUUGUUACACAUAUUGCUGUGUAACCAAUUAUCCCCCAAUCCAGCAAAUUAAAGAGUGCACAUACAUCA